This 496-nucleotide long non-coding RNA is filed under the name Lytechinus variegatus (green sea urchin). Its description in RNAcentral is "uncharacterized LOC121423797". The record is from RNAcentral. Lineage: Eukaryota; Metazoa; Echinodermata; Echinoidea; Temnopleuroida; Toxopneustidae.
AAAAUGUGGGUUGUUGUUUUAGGAUCGAAACAGAACAGUUAUAUUAUUCUGAAAAUAAGCGUUACUGCCAUUGAUUCUCUUAAUUUCUUUCCUUGUACAUCGUCUUCCAUGAACGUGUCAGUGACGUUGACUUGUGAUGGAUAUUACGACUGCGAUAAUUAUGAAGACGAAUCAUCAUGCAAAUAUCCCACAAGCUAUCUUCAGACAGGCGAAUAUUUUAUCUACGUCAACAACAUCACACGCAAAAGAUUAUACAAUGCCCACUUGUUUCAAACAAAUGUUACGAAUGGAUUUCAAAUUAUAUUCAGAGAUCUAUAUCUCUAUCAUGACGAACACAUCCAGAUAGGGAAUGGUACUGAUCCGUCUGAUCUACAGUCUGUCAUCACAACCAUCAAUGGAUAUAGACAUUGCUGUCCCAGUGAUGUUUACGUAGAGACCGGUGAUAUGUGGAUUGCUAUCAUAGGAGGCAUGGAAUACCACCUGCUUGAACUGAAUG